UGGGUAGUCCGCACGAGCGCACCUUACUUUUAGUUGCUAUCAUUUAGUUGAGCACUCUAAAAGAACUGCCAGUGAUAAGCUGGAGGAAGGUGGGGAUGACGUCAAGUCCUCAUGGCCCUUAUGUGUUGGGCUACACACGUGCUACAAUGGUAUUUACAGUGGGAUGCAAAGAGGCAACUCCAAGCCAACCCUUAAAAAAUACCUCAGUUCGGAUUGUACUCUGCAACUCGAGUACAUGAAGCUGGAAUUACUAGUAAUCGCAGAUCAGCGCGCUGCGGUGAAUACGUUCCCGGGUCUUGUACACACCGCCCGUCACACCAUGGAAGUUGGUUACACCUUAAGGCAAAGUGUAAAACCUUUGACUACGGUACGAUCAGCGACUGGGGUGAAGUCGUAACAAGGUAGCCGUAGGGGAACCUGCGGCUGGAUCACCUCCUUUCU
This 441-nucleotide ribosomal RNA is filed under the name uncultured Pelagibacterales bacterium. RNAcentral describes it as "bacterial SSU rRNA". It matches the Rfam family "Bacterial small subunit ribosomal RNA", at positions 1077 to 1533 of the family's 1533-position model. Lineage: Bacteria; Pseudomonadati; Pseudomonadota; Alphaproteobacteria; Candidatus Pelagibacterales. The record is from RNAcentral.